AGCGAACGCUGGCGGCAGGCUUAACACAUGCAAGUCGAGCGGGCAUAGCAAUAUGUCAGCGGCAGACGGGUGAGUAACGCGUGGGAACGUACCUUUUGGUUCGGAACAACUGAGGGAAACUUCAGCUAAUACCGGAUAAGCCCUUGCGGGGAAAGAUUUAUCGCCGAAAGAUCGGCCCGCGUCUGAUUAGCUAGUUGGUGAGGUAAUGGCUCACCAAGGCGACGAUCAGUAGCUGGUCUGAGAGGAUGAUCAGCCACAUUGGGACUGAGACACGGCCCAAACUCCUACGGGAGGCAGCAGUGGGGAAUAUUGGACAAUGGGCGCAAGCCUGAUCCAGCCAUGCCGCGUGAGUGAUGAAGGCCCUAGGGUUGUAAAGCUCUUUUGUGCGGGAAGAUAAUGACGGUACCGCAAGAAUAAGCCCCGGCUAACUUCGUG
This 435-nucleotide ribosomal RNA is filed under the name uncultured bacterium. Its description in RNAcentral is "partial 16S ribosomal RNA". It matches the Rfam family "Bacterial small subunit ribosomal RNA", at positions 29 to 507 of the family's 1533-position model. The record is from RNAcentral.